This 553-nucleotide ribosomal RNA is filed under the name uncultured cyanobacterium. RNAcentral describes it as "bacterial SSU rRNA". It matches the Rfam family "Bacterial small subunit ribosomal RNA", at positions 351 to 916 of the family's 1533-position model. Lineage: Bacteria; Bacillati; Cyanobacteriota. The record is from RNAcentral.
GCAGUGGGGAAUUUUCCGCAAUGGACGAAAGUCUGACGGAGCGACGCUGCGUGAAGGAUGACGGCCUGCGGGUUGUAAACUUCUUUUCUCGAAGAAGAAGCUCUGACGGUAUUCGAGGAAUAAGCAUCGGCUAACUCCGUGCCAGCAGCCGCGGUAAUACGGAGGAUGCAAGUGUUAUUCGGAAUGAUUGGGCGUAAAGCGUCUGUAGGCUGUAUAGAAAGUCUUUUGUUAAAUGCCUCGGCUCAACCGAGAUCCAGCAAAGGAAACUUCUAUACUUGAGGGAAGUAGAGGUACAGGGAAUUCCCGGUGGAGCGGUGAAAUGCGUAGAUAUCGGGAGGAACACCAAUAUGGCGAAGGCACUGUACUGGGCUUUACCUGACGCUCAGAGACGAAAGCUAAAGGAGUGAUUAGGAUUAGAUACCCUAGUAAUUUUAGCCGUAAACGAUGGAAACUCACUGCCGAGCGAAAUACAACGAGCGGUGGUCAAGCUAACGCGUGAAGUUUCCCGCCUGGGGAUUACGCUUGCAAAAGUGAAACUCAAAGGAAUUGACGG